GUACCUUUCUUGGCUGAUCCCUUUCGCUUUAUGGCGUGCUCGUUUGGGUUGGGCGUCGGCUAAGAGUGCUCAGAGCGUGGAUUAACUCCAGUCUCCAAUCAGGUGUGUAUUUUUUCGCUAUUCUAGCUGUAGGAUGGCUACUUCGGGCCGCGAUGGGCCGAAAGGGGUCAUGUGGGCCUAAUGGGCCUACGGACCCAAUUGGUUAAGUUGUUUGAUUGUGUAGUAAAUAUUGGACUAGGCUAGGUGAAUCUCAUAUUUGUGGCUAGAUUUGGGCUAAAAGGGCCACACGAGCGUGUGGGCCCAUUUGGGCCGAGAAUAGGCUUUUGGCACAUUCGUAUUGUUAUCCUUGUUUAGAAUACUUUAGUUUACCAAAUUACUAAAAUGCCCUCAAUUUGUAAAAUUACUAAAGUACCCUCGAUUUACAAAAUUACCGUUUUACCCUCGAUUUACAGAAUUACCAUUUUACCCUCAAUUUAUAGAAUUAACGUUUCACCCUCGAUUUAUAGAAUUACCGUUUUACCCUCAAUUUAUAGAAUUACCAUUUUACCCUCAAUUUACAGAAUUACCGUUUUACCCUUAAUUUACAAAAUUACUGAAAUACCAUUGGUUUACAAAAUUACCAAAAUACCCUUGAUCAGUAAAAUUACCAAAAUACCCCUGGUUUGUACAAUUACUAAAAUACUCCCUGUUUGUAAAAUUAUCGAAAUACUCUCGAUUUGUAAAAUAUCAAAAUACCCCUGAUUUGUGAAAUUUACGUUUCACCCUCGAUUUAUAGAAUUAUCGUUUCACCCUCGAUUUAUAGAAUUACCGUUUUACCCUUGAUUUAUAGAAUUACCAUUUUACCCUUGAUUUACAGAAUUACUGUUUUACCCUCGAUUUACAGAAUUACCGUUUUACCCUCGAUUUACAAAAUUACUGAAAUACCCUUGGUUUACAAAAUUACCAAAAUACCCUCGAUCAGUAAAAUUACCAAAAUAUCCUGGUUUGUAAAAUUACUAAAAUACUCUUGGUUUGUAAAAUUACCAAAAUACCCCUGGCUUGUAAAAUUACCAAAAUACCCCUGAUUUGUGAAAUUAUCGAAAUACUCUUGAUUUGUAAAAUAUCAAAAUACCCCUGAUUUGUGAAAUUAAUGUUUCACCCUCGAUUUAUAGAAUUAUCGUUUCACCCUCGAUUUACAGAAUUACCGUUUUACCCUCGAUUUAUAGAAUUACCAUUUUACCAUCAAUUUACAGAAUUACUUUUUUACCCUCGAUUUACAAAAUUACUGUUUUACCCUCAAUUUAUAAAAUUACUAAAAUACCCUUGGUUUACAAAAUUACCAAAAUACCCUCGAUCAGUAAAAUUACCAAAAUACCCCUAGUUUGUAAAAUUACUAAAAUACCCCUAGUUUGUAAAAUUACCAAAAUACCCUUGGCUUGUAAAAUUACCAAAAUACCCUUGAUUUGUGAAAUUAUCGAAAUACUCUCAAUUUGUAGAAUUACCGAAAUACCCCUAUAGGGUAGAAUUACUGAAAUACCCUUGUAGGGUAGAAUUACUAAAAUAACCCUGUAGGGUAGAAUUACCGAAAUACCCCUAUAGGGUAGAAUUACUGAAAUACCCUUGUAGGGUAGAAUUACCAAAAUACCCUUGUAGGGUAGAAAUAUCGAAAUACCCCUGUAAGGUAGAAUUACCGAGAUACCCUUGGGUAAAAUUACCAUUUUGCCCCUAGGGUGAUAAAUGACUGUUUUGCCGUUGUGGGCAAGUGACUAACUUGGACUGUGUGGUUGACGGAUUUGAUUGUGAAUAUAUGUUAGUGAUAUGAAUGACUUGACUGUGAUUGUUUGAUUCAAAUAUGGGCAUGACAUUCUGCAUACAUGACAUGUUGCAUGGGUUGGGUUUUAUAAAACUGGAGGAAGUGCUAAAAGGGCUUUGCCCCAGUUUACCGAAAAGGGCUUUGCCCCAGUUUAUCAAAAAGGGCUUUGCCCUAGUUUAUCAAAAAAGGCUUUGCCUCAGUUAUUAAAAGAGGCUAGGCCUCUAGUUAUAUGAUAAAGCAGCUAUGCUGCCAAUGGAGAGUUUGGUUGGGUUGGUUAAGUUAUUCCAAAUGGAGAGCUUGGUUGGUACGGGUGGAGAGUAACGGAUGGUGGGUUGAGUAGUCUCCCCAAAUAGGCUUGCAUACAUUCAUUGGUAUUUCAUGUGAUAGCGAAAUGGGCCCAUGGGCCAUAUCGUUUACAGUAAAGGCUUCGGCCCAGUGAUAUGAUUUAUGAAAAGGCUUGGCCCAGUAACCGUUAAAGAAAAGGCUUCGGCCCAGUAUAUGUCAAGACUGAAUAGGGCUUUGGCCCAGAUUGUACUAAUACCGUGUUAUUCACUGUUUGUUUGUUAUUGGGAUUACACACUGAGUUUUCGUAAGCUCACCCUGUUUCUAACUGUGCAGGUAAUCCCUAAGCUUAGAUGGUUUGGAGCUACGAGGGACUCAGAAAUGGCCACACUACUGUUUCUAUUUCUUUUAAUUGCAAUUAGAUUUCGUUUUGGGUUUUUAAUUUAUGAAAUAAGGUCGUUGGUGGGUUUUAAGUUUUAAUUUGGAUUGUGAUUUCUUAUACUAAACUGCUAGUCUAGGAAAGCUCGAGAUUUCAAAAUGGUAUGAUUCUUCUAAGGAACACGAGCUUCCAACAACAAAGUUUUCAAAAUGCUUCCGCGAUUUUAAAUAAGGUAAUAUACCAAAGGCAAACAAAUUGGUAAACGUUUUGAUGAGAACUUUAGUUUAAUAAUAAUAAAGGAAUUUAGAUUCAGUAAUGGAUUUUCACCGGAACGGUCAAAUUUGAAAAAUGGUUUGAUGUGACACGCCAGAUUCGGCCAUAACGUCUAGGCCAGGUUUGGGGUGUUACAAUCAUUUUCAGAGCCUCGUUUGCUUCCUCUUUUUCCAAGUUCUUGUUCAUUAAAUUGUGGAGGAGAGGAGGAAGGAAUUGGGCUACAAUCAUUUCAAACUUUUUUCCAUUCCCUAUUAGUUUAGUUAUGGUUAAAAGCAUUAUUCUCAUUCAUUACAUCAACACAAUCAUAAGGUGCAUUACCAACAUUAUAAUUUGGGGGAGAAAGGAUAUAAAUUGUUUCCUUUUCAUGCUUACCAGAAGUAAAUUUAAUAACCUUGUAACACCUGUAACCCAUCUUCGUCACUGGAUUAGGGUUACAGAGCAUUAUCGAUCAAUCGAAAAACAUUUAUAAUCAUAACAUUAAAUAAAUUAAUCUCAAUAAAAAACUUAUCAACUAUAUGUAUUUUGUCCUUAAAUCGAGCCUUCGAGGCCCUAAAAAAACUUAGAAGCAAUUCGGGACUAAUUUGAAUCAAAAAAGAAGAUUUGGGAAAAAGUUGAAAAUUUUGAAAACAGGGGUCACACAACCGUGUGACAUAGCCCUGGCCAUGUAACAAUUGAAUAAGAUAUAUACGGCCGUGUCCUAGCCUAUGUCCUCACCUAUGUAUCUCAUUGAGUUAGUUUACAUGACCGUAUCACAGGCCGUGUGCUAGACCGUGUAAUUAAUUUACUUAAUACGCUAAGAAAUUUUAAAUAACACAUGGUUGAUUAGCUAGGUCGUGUGUGUCACAUAGUCGUGUGAUAGCCCGUGUCCCAGGUCGUGUGAUCCAUAUUUUGACCCUAAAAAUAUGCCAUUUCAAGGCCAAACCAUACCUAAACAAACAUUCCAUUUGUGCACACAUUCAAAAGACUGAAACAUCGUUCAAACACAUCUAAACAUACCAUUUCAAACAUCCUAUCACAUCUAACCAAUAUGCCAUUCAAAGGCACCACAUUUAUACCAUAACACUACUAACCAAAACAAAACAAUAUUGUCAUAUUCCAAGCUCAAAACCUAGUUCCUUAACUACCAAAUAACAUCACAUGUGACCAUUUACAUGCCAUCAAAAACAUACCAAAAAGAGUCUUAUUCACAAGAACUUUAAAAUGGCCAUAAUGACCAAACUUAACAAGGUUCCAAAGCUUACCAAGCUAAACAUAAACUUCAAAAGCACAAACAAACUAAAUCAAUCAUUACACAUUCAAGAACUACCACUUCAAAAAGGGUUUUAGACAUGCCAUAGAUAACCUUGGCUAAAUUACUCAAAAACUACCAAAAUGGUUGUUGGAUAGUAUGAUUGAUCCCCGACAAGCUUCCAACCAAUCGAGAUUUUGAUAAUCUAUAAAACAAAAGAAAGUAACUACAUAAGCAACGAGUGCGUAGUAAGCUCGUAUAAAUUCAAACAUAACUUACCAUUUCUUUAGCACAAACUAUAAAAUAUGCAUAAUGUCAUUACCAAUACCAUAAGCUUAGUAUAAGCCUAUACAAGCACCAUCAAACUCAAAGUUAGUAUGCUUAUCCAUGAUACAAAUGAAUUCAAUCAUAUAGUAAGUAAAUUUCAUAUAUACACAUCGUCAAUUUAUCAACCUUUUCAUAUGAUCAUAAACCGUUUCAUUUGUAUGUUUAUCAUGUCAUUUCCUUUACUUACCCAUUGAACCAUCUAGAAUUACAUCGGAUACUUAGGAAUGCUCACACACAUAGUGUGUCUUUUUAUAUAAUUGUAACCUUUCUUUUUCAAUAGUGCUCACACGAGUUGUGAAAUGGGCCUACUCACACAAGCUGUGUGUCAGAAUGUUAGCUACACGAUGCUUCUCACACGAGCUAUGGAGAAUUCGCAACAAAUGC
RNAcentral lists this long non-coding RNA (4665 nucleotides) under Gossypium barbadense (sea-island cotton). Its description in RNAcentral is "long non-coding RNA (GBAR_LNC010225)". The record is from RNAcentral. Lineage: Eukaryota; Viridiplantae; Streptophyta; Magnoliopsida; Malvales; Malvaceae.